Long non-coding RNA from Juglans regia (Persian walnut), 608 nucleotides. RefSeq lists it as uncharacterized. The record is from RefSeq and is a predicted model, not a curated record. NCBI's taxonomy places the organism in Eukaryota, Viridiplantae, Streptophyta, Magnoliopsida, Fagales, Juglandaceae. The transcript has 2 exons.
CACAAACCAUUAAUAAGCAAUCAACAAAAUGAAGGCUAUCAUUUUUAUUUGCAUUCUCUUUGCUUCCCUUCUUAUCUCAUCCCCUUCAAUUGCAGCUCGCGAACUGGCUGAGACUUAUAAAGGACCUACUGUCGGAACCAAUCCCAACAAGCCAGCAAUAUCAACCUGCGGAAAGCCUGGCAAUCCUCAAUAUAGUUCUUGCAUACGAAAUCCAAAGCGGCCCAUCAAGUCAUGUAGCACAUAUACGCGGCGUAAUUGCAAGCCACCUCAAGGACGACCUUGAAUAUAUCAAUACUACUUUUAUUGUGGUGCGGUGAAAGUAUGAAUAACUAGUACUAAAGUUACAUGAAGUACCAGUAGUACUCAUCAAGUAAUGCUUUGAAAAUAAAUAAAUAGGAUUUGGAUUGAGACCAUUAAUAUUGUAAUGGAGCUGGAUCGAUCGAGCUUCCUUUGCAAUAUGGAAAUAUAUAUGUAAAAUAUGCUACAUCUUGAUCAUAUGCUGCACGUGUGCCAAUAAUUAAUUAAAAAAUCAAGCUGACCGACAUAGUUUUGGUCAGCUAAUUGUUGUGAUCCAAAUACAUUAAGUAUUUAAUAAAUUUUCUUAAUCA